Molecule: long non-coding RNA, 1488 nt
Organism: Carassius auratus (goldfish)
Lineage: Eukaryota; Metazoa; Chordata; Actinopteri; Cypriniformes; Cyprinidae
Exons: 3
Source: RefSeq, a predicted model, not a curated record
CAAAAGAGGAAUAUUUAUUGCAGGGUUAAAAGGAUCUAAUAUUGUGCGGGUGAAAUAGAUGCAUGCUGAACCGGGUUGGUGGCUGCUGUUCAGAGCAGGGGAAACCGUAGAUGAGAGUUCAGAGUGAGAGAGUCUGAUCCAGUUGAUCCAGAGCAGAAUCCGGGAAUAGUUUAGCUAUCAGAAUAGAAUACAUCCAUCAGAAACUGAGAGAGCUAGGAAGGCUUCUGAUAUGCUCAAGAAAAACCACUUCCUUGAAGACCAUUAAAGAUCACAUCAAACAAAGUUGUGGAAUCAGUAAAACACCUAGCAGGCUAUGACAGUAAAACCCAUGCAUACAGGUGCCCAAACCUAGCUCUCAAAAUUGGACUGAUCUUGACAAAGAUUUCAAUGCUUCUUGAAAGCCAUGCAAAUCUACAGAACGACUACAGUGCUGCAAAAGAUGCUCGUAAAUUCUGCAGAGUGUAUGAAACCAGAUGGAAUGAACUGAUAUCAGCCGCAUCACUGAGAACACUUCAGGAGUCUAAGUGGAAUAUUCCUCUGUUGCUUCCAUUCACAAAAGAUGUCCAGACACUGCAACAACAAGAUCUUCACAGUAAAUUGUCUACAGAGGUAUCCCCCCAGACGUGGGCAAAACUGACAAAGGUCAUUUUGGCACAAGUCAUUUUGUUUAAUCGACGAAGAGCUGGGGAGGUGUCAAAAAUGACCCUUUCUGCAUAUGUAUGUCAAAAUGCAUCAGACCCACGUGAAGAUGUGAAUGAAGCCCUCUCAGAUCUAGAGAAGAAACUCUGUCAGCAUUUCAGCAGGAUUGAGAUAAGAGAAAAAAGGGGAAGAAAAGUUCCUGUGCUUUUGACCCCAGUGAUGAAGCAAGGACUGGAUCUGCUUGUCAGCACACGGCAGGAAUGUGAGGUUCCUCGGGAGAACGUAUACCUAUUUGCAAGACCAUCGUCUUUUAACUGUUUCCAUGGGUCUGAUUGCCUUCAACACUUUGCCAAGGUCUGUGGUGCAAAAAGUCCUGAAAGUCUCACUUCUACAAAACUACGCAAAACAAACAGGAACACUGUCUCAAGUUCUCAACCUCAGUAAUACAGAGCUAGAUCAGUUAGCGGAUUUUCUUGACCAUGACGUUAGAGUGCACCGGCAGUUCUAUAGACUUCCUGAAGGCACCCUCCAACUUGCAAAAAUUAGCAAAGUCCUCAUGGCUCUGGAUCAGGGACGCCUGGCAGAAUUCAAGGGCAAGACACUGGAUGACAUUAACAUUGAUCCUGAAGUGCCAACAUGAUCCAGAACCCUUACCUUCAAUGAACAAAGUUGGAAUGAAUCCUUCCCUGGUGGACUACACAGAUUCUGAUUAAUCUCAGAGUCCAAGCACAAAUCAUGACCAGUUUAAUUCAAGCUGCCAGACAUGGUGUCCGACUUCUGAGUUUGAACUAAUCCUCACCCACCAGGACGGAGAUUAUAUUCCAAGGCUGAGGAGGACCAAAAGCAUAC